GACGAACGCUGGCGGCGUGCCUAAUACAUGCAAGUCGAGCGCAGGAAACUGACGGAACUCUUCGGAGGGAAGGCAGCGGAAUGAGCGGCGGACGGGUGAGUAACACGUAAGGAACCUGCCUCAAGGAUUGGGAUAACUCCGAGAAAUCGGAGCUAAUACCGGAUAGUUCAACGGACCGCAUGGUCCGCUGAGGAAAGGCGCUCCGGCGUCACCUUGAGAUGGCCUUGCGGUGCAUUAGCUAGUUGGUGGGGUAACGGCCCACCAAGGCGACGAUGCAUAGCCGACCUGAGAGGGUGAUCGGCCACACUGGGACUGAGACACGGCCCAGACUCCUACGGGAGGCAGCAGUAGGGAAUCUUCCACAAUGGACGAAAGUCUGAUGGAGCAACGCCGCGUGAGUGAUGAAGGUUUUCGGAUCGUAAAACUCUGUUGUAAGGGAAGAACACGUACGAGAGGGAAUGCUCGUACCUUGACGGUACCUUACGAGAAAGCCACGGCUAACUACGUGCCAGCCGCCGCCGUAA
Molecule: ribosomal RNA, 524 nt
Filed under: uncultured bacterium
Lineage: Bacteria
Description: partial 16S ribosomal RNA
Rfam family: Bacterial small subunit ribosomal RNA
Source: RNAcentral